GUCUUUUUAUUAUUUAGGAAUUUUUUUGUCGAUUAGGAAUUUAUAAUUAGAGUUUGCUUCGUAUUUUCUUAUUUAGGGUUCCAAGUCCUAAUACUAAUUCUACUAUAAAUGCCUUAGUUCUAUAGGUAUUUUCGUAUAGUUCUCUAGGUAUUUUGAUAAAUCAUUUUCUAUAAUCGAAAAUUAAUUUGAGAGUUAAUAAAAGUUGAGAAUUUGUUUUUCAUCCCCUUCUGAGAAUUUGUUAUUCUUAUUCUAUUGGUUCCACAUCAAUUAGUCAACCAUAGAAACCAAAAAAGAGCUUCCACUCCUACUACUUCCCUUUUCCUCCACCCCCACCGUCUCUCGCUUUUCAAUAGAGGAAAGGCCUGUUGGGUUCCGGUGAAGCACACAUGUAAUGACCCAGGAAAUGCAUACUAAUGGAACCAUAGACCAUCAACUUUAAAUUCAAAGCUUUAACAAACUAUCCUGCCAUGCAGAUUAAUAGUGCAACAUAUGCUAUAUCAAUUUGUUUUCAAAAUGGAGAAUAGAAAAAAAGGGAGAAGCUAACUUAAAGAACAUUUCAUGAACAAUAUAGUUUGUGAUGACUUCUAAAAUUGACAAAAGCACAAGUUUCUUGAAAUUCAGGACCAAUAACAUACAUAACAAUAUCAAAUAUUAGCACCAAUGGAGAUAUAGAAGGAAAUGACCACAAACAAGAUAUAGAAUGAAAUUAGAAGACAGAAAGGGGAAACAAAGGGAAAACUGUUUCCUAUUUAUGACACAAGAAUAAAUGGUCAAAUAAAAAAAUUCCACUAUGUAUAAACACCUAAAGAAAGUUUGUUGCAGAACAUAAGAGUAAACCAAUAAAUCUUCUAGUGAACCAGGAAAAAAAAAUACCUUUCUCUAGGUCUGGUCACUAACCUUGCAUAUUGGGCGGUGAGGAUCUCGAAGAUUAACAAGUAAAUUGUCACUUUUCAAGUCAAAGUGUACUAUGUUCUUUCCAUGCAAGUAUUCCAUCCCAAAGGCCACAUCCAUGGCAAUCAAUAGACGCUUACGCUUGUCAAGACUCCUCUCAUUCUUCUGCAAAGCAUUUCUCAGAGAACCAUUAACCAUGUAUUCUGUCACUGUUGCCACAGAUCCUCCAGGACCAUCAAGCACAACACCAUAGAAAGCUACCACAUUUGGAUGAUGCAAGUCCGCAAGCUUAAUUGCUUCAUUCCAGAAAUCAUCUAUCAUGCGUUCUUGUUCAGAAGGUUUCCCAGCAAAACAUCUAUCAUUGAUCCUUUUAAUUGCAACAUCAGUGCCCCUCCACUUCCCAUGAUAUACAGUCCCAAAGGUGCCAGAACCCAAUUCUCGCAACUCUUCAAGGUCAACAUUCUUUAUAAUCUGCAAACGAUAAUUUCCUUCAGAUACUGGAAAUCCAAAAUUCAGCUUUUCUGGCAGUUUAUUCUUCAUAUCCUCAAAUUUAGCUUUGUGUUGCAUGUCUAUAUCUUCACUUGAAACUUUCUUGUCUUGACUUGCCUCAUGAGCUGAUUCACUUCUUUCAUUAGCCAUUGAGUCAGGACUAGGGCUACCUAACUGAAAAACAGAAGCAACUACACCCUCAGCUACAGCCUGAAGUUCUUGCUUCAUGAGUUCCUCAGCUGAGCCUUUGGAGGAUUGAGCUUGCUCUGAAUUCAAAUCCCUUUUUGCAUUGCUCUGUGGCUGGGAAACUCCAUCCCCCAUCAGCCCAUCUGUCUUUAUUUCUCCAGGGUUGCUGGCAAGGUUCUCACUGAAAGGAUCCUUGGUAUCAGAAGUUUCUUUUUUCGUUAGAAUUUUGUUUGGUCUAGGAGGAGGAAGGUGAGCAUCAUGCCUUAGAUUCCAAGGAUCCUGGUUGCUGAAAAGUGAAUUUGAGGAAUCCUGAACAUCUCCAACUCUACCAGAUGAUAAGGGAGACGGCACAUUAGCAUUUGGAGAUCCAACUCCCAUAUCAAUAGGACUAAUUUUUGGUUGUGGGAUUCUAUCAAUUGCAUAGGCCGGCUGAAUGCCUGAGAAUGUGGGGUUUCCAUAACUAACCUCCCCAGAAUCCAAUAGAUUAAUUCCAAUCAUGCAUUGCGGAUACGAUACUUGAUUACCCAAAAUGGGUGGCUGUGUGACCACAGAAGCAGGCAGUAUUUCAGUUGGCUUGAUGUGGUUUGAGUCAAGAACCAGCUGAGGCUUUUUAUAGCUAUCAUCCAGAAAUGAAUCCCUCCCACCUAAUUGUUGAGCUUUGUAAUCCAAGAUCUCUUCCUUUCUCAGUUUAUCAACAGGUGACUUACUCUGCUCAUUACUAGCACUAAUUUCAGGGGACAUAUGGAGAGUUUCUAUCAUCCCAUUAAUUGAUCUUAGCUGAUCAUAUGAUACACUAGAUUCUACAAUAUCUCCUCUGGAAACAACACGAGGCAGGUUACCAGGGUACUCCACUGGACAUUCAUGACCCAACCGUUCUGAAGCUUGAACACCAGGAAAUUGAGAGACAUCACCAUUAAUAGGUUUGUUCAGUAAGGGCUCCUCGUUAACCUGGUAUUGACCAGACACCUGAUGCUGCUGAACAGAAUCUUCUUGGCGAGACUGGAGAACUAUACCUGUGAAUCCUGGUACAGCCAUCAUACCAUGAGGAACUGAAAUCUUAGAUUUAUCAGAACUGUCCACUUUCCGCAUGGUAGUUCUCUCAUUUUCAGUAUGUGAGAACAAAACCGCUUCUGAUUGUUGCAAUCCAACUUGAUGGUCAACAUGGCUAAGGGCAGAGGAUCGAGCCCCAACACCCUGUUCAACAAUGCCAUCCCCCAAAGCUCCGCCAACCAUAACCCAGUUCAAAGGCUGACCUUUUUUAGUGUCUCCCAAAUGGAGACUAUGAUGAACUGCGUUUGAAUCAGAUAGAGAGCUCAUCCCACUCUCUCUUUGAUCCUGUGCCAAAGGAUCCGAAUGUGCAUGAGGCAGUGCUUUCUGACACAUAACACAAUCCUCAAAUCUCUGUAUUUUUUCAGAAAAAAUUACCUGUUGGUGAGACACUGAUCCAUCAGAGAAGACAACAUGCUCAGUCUGAGCAACUGGAUGCCAACCAUAGCCACCUCCAACAACUGCAGAUGGAGGCUGGGGCUGAUAAGCAUUGUAGCUUGGGUCAAUAGGAAACUGAACAAUCCUUGUGCCAUAUGUGUUUUCAUUAGAAUAUCGAUCCACACGAGCUUGUUGUGUUUGCACCAGUGGCUGAACAAUGGUUGGCCUCAUAGCUACUUGAGAAGAUGUGGGUGUCAUCGUCAUAUGCACAGCAGGAAUAUAUUGAUGAGAAGCCACGCUUGAAUUACUGUCACGAAUCUGCUGUUGAGUGUAUGCAGAUCCAGCAGUCCCCAACAACUGAGCAUUGGGAAAUCUCAUCUGGGCAGGAAGAUACAUAUAAUCUGCAUGAUUUGUGAUUUCUUGGCGGUGAUCUGCAUAAGCUUGCAAGUGAGGUGCAGGUGGUGGAAUGCCCAUUCCAGCUUGCUGGAAAUCAUAUCCCAAUUGCUGUUGAGGCACAGAAACAGGUAUGGACCUCUCAAAUUCAACUUCGGGCUGGGAAGAUAGAGUUUGGGGAGGACCAGACUUAACCACGGGAAUGCCCAGAGACACUGCAGAUGCAUCGGCAUGAAUUGGAGGAUUAGGUUCCACUGGCACAAAUUUUGGAUUGGACUCCUGGGAAGUUGCCAGAUCACCUCUAGGCGACAAAACACUAGCUGUUGGUGCACCACUAAUAUCCACUUGACCAGUACCUGAGCUAUCAACUGCCUCAGUCCCACUAAAAUCAGAGUUCUGAGUUGAAGUUGCACUUGCUAUACUCUCCUUCCAAGCAAUACCACUGCCAACACCAUCUGCAAUCCCAUUUACUGCAUCAACAUAUCUCUGUCCACUGUCAUGUAAAUCUCCAAAUUGCACCAUACCAGAUGUGUCAAGCUCCAUAGCAGAGAACAAGAACACCCUUAACUUAGCUGACCCAUCAGAAGACCUCUCAACCAACUUCUCAUACUCAUCCAUCAUAUUAUCAAGAUCAUCAGUACAAGAAACCGACACCAGUGCAUCAAGAUCCUCAUCAGGAAGCUGGUAUUUAAUAACCACUGGUUGGCCAUAAGUAUCCACCAUCUUUUGCACUAGCUCAUUAAAGGACACAUCUCUCCUCACACUAAUGAUCCUGGUCUGCCCUCCAACAUAUCUCAACAUACCAUCACUGGGUCUAGGGAAAAUCUUCCCCCCAAAACUACACAAAAACUUAACUUUCUUCCCUGACACUGAAUCAUCCCCACCCUCUUCACUCCCAUGAUCAACGCCAGUGCCACUACCACUUCCACGGUUCCCCAAAUUGGCAUUGUAACCAGAUCCCACAUUUGUCAACUCGUUGCUCCCAUUAGAAUUAACCCGAUUGUCCAAAAGGGAACUACUACCCGACCCAGCAACAAUAUCAUUUCCAGCAUGAUCAACGGCAUUACUAACCAUCCUAUUACCCAAAUUGGGGCUGUAACCAAACCCAACAUUUGGGCUAUUCACACUUCCAACUGGCACCGGUAGGCGUGGAGCCCAUGGGGCUGGGCCACCAUAUCCUAAACUUACAAAACCAGAAUCAGACACUGUUAUCGGGUAAAAAACGGGUAUAGAACCAUCUGGAUUGGCAAAAAUUUCUGGGUUUCUACUCGCUACUGUCGCUGUGGCAAUAGUGGGAGCAGUAGCGGUGGACAACACAGCAAUGCGGGGCUCUUCGGGUAUGGUUCUGGCUACGUUUAUUGGUCUUAGAUCUUUUGGUAUGUGGUUCUGAUCAAAAGCCAUAUAUAAUUUCAAUUGAGGAAUGAAUUAAUCCAGAGAGAGAAACCUAGGGUUUUGCCAAUGGGUUUUAUUCUAUACAUUCACUAGUUCCAAAAACUACGAUGAACCCAUAUAAGUAGCGCAAAAACUCAACAAGAACACAAGCCUUCAAAGCUCAAAACAGAAUUAAAAGAGAAAAAGAGAGAGACAAAUACCAGAUUUGAAGGGUGACUAUCCCAGAUAUAUAUAUAUAAAACAAAAUAAAUAAAUAAAUUGAAACAAUACUCAAUAUAGGCAACUGAAUAGGAUUACCUCAUUGGUCUAGUUUAGGCUACAGGUUUCCAUUUUGUAAGACAUUCUGUUCUGACUUCUGAAUCUAUCAACGUUUAUCUGACAGGUGGACAUAUCAGUGAAAGAGAAGCUUUCAG
This 5189-nucleotide unclassified non-coding RNA is filed under the name Hevea brasiliensis (rubber tree). The record is from RNAcentral. Lineage: Eukaryota; Viridiplantae; Streptophyta; Magnoliopsida; Malpighiales; Euphorbiaceae.